AAGCUUCUUCUCCACCUCAAGCUCCUGCGUUAAGCUCAUCAUGGUCGCGCGAAUCUUCUCUCUUUCUCUUCUUUUCCAAGCACUAUUUUCUUCUGCAAAAUGCUUCAUGAGAUACUCAAUAUCGGUCUGGUUCGAGCUUUGUUCUUCGAUGAAUCCAUCAAUUUGGUUGCGAACGCGAUCAAGCUCAUUGCUCAUGCCUAAGAUGAGAGAUUUUUUGUCUGACACGAGGACAUCAUGGAAAUUGUGAGGGCGAAAUUCAGGGAGAAGAUAUCUGAUUUAUUGCAUGAAAUAUAUAUAUGAUGAUGAUGAUUCUAAUUAAAGCUUGCAAUUGUUAUUUGGAAUUAUGGUAAGAUGAUUAUGAUGUGUGUAGAAUGUAUUUUAUAAAAUGAUUCCAAGACAACUACUAUAAAUGGUUUUAUAGUGUUACUAUGGUUAUGCCGCAAAUCUUUAUAUUUUAAGAAUAUCAAGGUAAAUGCAACUUAUGCGGAUUUUAAAAUCUGCAACAAUGUAGUCGCAAUUGCAGUUGCAGAUUACAAUUGAAUAAUUAUUAGUAUUA
Molecule: long non-coding RNA, 556 nt
Organism: Cicer arietinum (chickpea)
Lineage: Eukaryota; Viridiplantae; Streptophyta; Magnoliopsida; Fabales; Fabaceae
Source: RefSeq, a predicted model, not a curated record